This 253-nucleotide ribosomal RNA is filed under the name uncultured bacterium. RNAcentral's name for it is "partial 16S ribosomal RNA". It matches the Rfam family "Bacterial small subunit ribosomal RNA", at positions 524 to 776 of the family's 1533-position model. The record is from RNAcentral.
UACGGAGGGGGCUAGCGUUGUUCGGAAUUACUGGGCGUAAAGCGCACGUAGGCGGUUCUCCAAGUCCGUUGUGAAAGCCCCGGGCUCAACCUGGGAAUGGCAGUGGAAACUAGGGGACUGGAAUCUGGCAGAGGGGGGUGGAAUUCCGCGUGUAGCAGUGAAAUGCGUAGAGAUGCGGAGGAACACCGAUGGCGAAGGCAGCCCCCUGGGCUAACACUGACGCUCAGGCACGAAAGCGUGGGGAGCAAACAGG